UAAUACCGGAUAAUAUUUUGAACUGCAUGGUUCGAAAUUGAAAGGCGGCUUCGGCUGUCACUUAUGGAUGGACCCGCGUCGCAUUAGCUAGUUGGUGAGGUAACGGCUCACCAAGGCAACGAUGCGUAGCCGACCUGAGAGGGUGAUCGGCCACACUGGGACUGAGACACGGCCCAGACUCCUACGGGAGGCAGCAGUAGGGAAUCUUCCGCAAUGGACGAAAGUCUGACGGAGCAACGCCGCGUGAGUGAUGAAGGCUUUCGGGUCGUAAAACUCUGUUGUUAGGGAAGAACAAGUGCUAGUUGAAUAAGCUGGCACCUUGACGGUACCUAACCAGAAAGCCACGGCUAACUACGUGCCAGCAGCCGCGGUAAUACGUAGGUGGCAAGCGUUAUCCGGAAUUAUUGGGCGUAAAGCGCGCGCAGGUGGUUUCUUAAGUCUGAUGUGAAAGCCCACGGCUCAACCGUGGAGGGUCAUUGGAAACUGGGAGACUUGAGUGCAGAAGAGGAAAGUGGAAUUCCAUGUGUAGCGGUGAAAUGCGUAGAGAUAUGGAGGAACACCAGUGGCGAAGGCGACUUUCUGGUCUGUAACUGAC
Molecule: ribosomal RNA, 595 nt
Filed under: Rossellomorea oryzaecorticis
Lineage: Bacteria; Bacillati; Bacillota; Bacilli; Caryophanales; Bacillaceae
Description: bacterial SSU rRNA
Rfam family: Bacterial small subunit ribosomal RNA
Source: RNAcentral